UCCCUAGAUGUUCUGGGCCGCACGCGCGCUACACUGAACAGUUCAACAAGUCUUAACCUUGGCCGAUAGGUCUGGGUAAUCUUUGAACGCUGUUCGUGAUUGGGAUAGACCUUUGCAAUUAUGGGUCUUCAACGAGGAAUUCCUAGUAAACGCAAGUCAUCAGCUUGCAUUGAUUACGUCCCUGCCCUUUGUACACACCGCCCGUCGCACCUACCGAUUGAAUGGUCCGGUGAAAUCUCGGGGCGGCGGCUUGGUCGCUUGCGUCCGACUGCUGAAACUUGAUUAAACCAUAUCAUUUAGAGGAAGGUGAAGUCGUAACA
Molecule: ribosomal RNA, 320 nt
Filed under: uncultured eukaryote
Lineage: Eukaryota
Description: partial 18S ribosomal RNA
Rfam family: Eukaryotic small subunit ribosomal RNA
Source: RNAcentral